This is a long non-coding RNA of Budorcas taxicolor (takin), 2759 nucleotides long. RefSeq lists it as uncharacterized. NCBI's taxonomy places the organism in Eukaryota, Metazoa, Chordata, Mammalia, Artiodactyla, Bovidae. The record is from RefSeq and is a predicted model, not a curated record. The transcript is spliced from 3 exons.
UUGUGGACGCGCUCGGCGCUCACCUAGGACUGUCACCGGCUCCUGCGGGGCCCGCGGGAGCGCUUCCGAAAGACUCCGCGGGUGGUGGUGACGGUGUCGGGAUCCCGGUCCCCACCGGCCCCGAGAGCUACUCCUUCCCCGCGCCCCGCUCAGCGCGAAAGCUGCGGGAAGCUCCAGUCUAAGGCAACUGUGUUCUAUAAAUUAUAGACCAAGAAAUGAGGAGAAAUUUGGCAAAGAAUAAUAAUGUCGAUGGAAAUACAUGGACAAAUGAGGCCUAAGGAAACUUGGAAUUUUCAUAUGCUUUUCUUAAAAUCUGAAGGUGAUAGAAGAUUUUUAAUGAGGCCCAACUACAAUAUAUAGACAAAGAUGGAGAAGCUGUAUAUAGUCAGCAAAAACAAGACCGGGAAUUGAAUGUGGCUCAGAUCAUGAACUCCUUAUUGCCAAAUUCAAACUUAAAUUGAAGAAAGUAGGGAAAACCACUAGACCAUUCAGGUAUGACCUAAAUAAAAUCCCUUAUGAUUAUACAGUGGAAGUGAGAAAUAGAUUUAAGGGAGUAGAUUGAAUAGACAGAGUUCUUGAUGAACUAUGGAUGGAGGUUUGUGACAUUGUACAGGAGACAGAGAUCAAGACCAUCCCCAUGGAAAAGAAAGGCAAAAAAGCAAAAUGGCUGGCUGAGGAGGACUUAUAAAUAGUUGUCAAAAGAAGGGAAGUGAAAAGCAAAGGAGAAAAGGAAAGAUAUAAGCAUCUGAAUGCAGAGUUCCAAAGAAUAGCAAGGAGAGAUAAGAAAGCCUUCCUCAGCGAUCAAUGCAAAGAAAUAGAGGAAAACAACAGAAUGAGAAAGACUAGAGAUCUCUUCAAGAAAAUUAGAGAUACCAAGGGAACAUUUCAUGCAAAGAUGGGCUUGAUAAAGGACAGAAAUGGUAUGGACCUAACAGAAGCAGAAGAUAUUAAGAAGAGGUGGCAAGAAUACACAGAAGAACUGUACAAAAAAGAUCUUCAUGACCCAGAUAAUCACAAUGGUGUGAUCACUCACCUAGAGUCAGACAUCCUGGAACGCAAAGUCAAGUGGGCCUUAGAAAGCAUCACUAUGACCAAAGCUAGUGGAGGUGAUGGAAUUCCAGUUGAGCUAUUUCAAAUCCUGAAAGAUGAUACUGUGAAAGUGCUGCACUCAAUAUGCCAGCAAAUUUGGAAAACUCAGCAGUGGCCACAGGACUGGAAAAGGUCAGUUUUCAUUCCAAUCCCAAAGAAAGGCAAUGCCAAAGAAUGCUCAAACUACCACACAGUUGCACUCAUCUCACACGCUAGUAAAGUAAUGCUCAAAAUUCUCCAAGCCAAGCUUCAGCAAUAUGUGAACCUUGAACUUCCAGAUGUUCAAGCUGGUUUUAGAAAAGACAGAGGAACCAGAGAUCAAAUUGCCAAUGUCCACUGGAUCAUCGAAAAAGCAAGAGAAUUCCAGAAAAGCAUCUCUGCUUUUUUGACUAUGCCAAAGCCUUUGACUGUGUGGAUCACAAUAAACUGUGGAAAAUUCUGAAAGAGAUGAGAAUACCAGACCAUCUGACCUGCCUUUUGAGAAACCUAUAUGCAGAUCAGGAAGCAACAGUUAGAACUGGACAUGGAACAACAGACUGGUUCCAAAUAGGAAAAGGAGUACGUCAAGGCUGUAUAUUGUCACCCUGCUUAUUUAACAUCAUGAGAAAUGCUGGGUUGGAAGAAGCACAAGCUGGAAUCAAGAUUGCCGGGAGAAAUAUCAGUAACCUCAGAUAUACAGAUGACACCACCCUUAUGGCAGAAAGUGAAGAGGAACUAAAAAGCCUCUUGAUGAAAGUGAAAGAGGAGAGUGAAAAAUUUGGCUUAAAGCUCAACAUUCAGAAAACGAAGAUCAUGGCAUCCAGUCCCAUCACUUCAUGGCAAAUAGAUGGGGCAACAGUGGAAACAGUGUCAGACUUUAUUCUGGGGGGUUCCAAAAUCACUGCAGAUAGUGACUGCAGCCAUGAAUUUAAAAGACACUUACUGCUUGGAAGGAAAGUUAUGACCAACCUAGACAACAUAUUCAAAAGCAGAGACAUUACUUUGCCAACCAAGGUCCAUCUAGUCAAGGCUGUGGCUUUUCCUGUGGUCAUGUAUGGAUGUGAGUUGGACUGUGAAGAAAGCUGAGUGCCGAAGAAUUGAUACUUUUGAACUGUGGUGUUGGAGAAGAUUCUUGAGAGUCUCUUGGACUGCAAGGAGAUCCAACCAGUCCAUCCUAAAGAAGACCAGUCUUGGGUGUUCAUUGGAAGGACUAUGCUGAAGCUAAAACUCCAAUACUUCGGCCACCUCAUGUGAAGAGUUGACUCAUUGGAAAAUACCCUGAUGCUGGGAGGGAUUGGGGCCAGGAGGAGAAGGGGACGACAGAGGAUGAGAUGACUGAAUGGCAUCACCGACUCGAUGCACAUGAGUUUGAGUGAACUCCAGGAACUGGCGAUGGACGGGAAGGCCUGGUGUGCUGCGAUUCAUGGGGUCGCAAAGAGUCAGAUACGACUGAGCGCCUGAACUGAACUGAUAAUAUUUUUGGAUGCACCUAUGUUGAUGUAUGUAUCAAUAGUUCUUUCCUUCUUAUUGUCAAAUUAUAUUCUGUUGUAUAGAUAUACCACAUUCUGUUUAUUCAGUUACCAACUGGUGGACAUUUAGAUUGUUUCUAGUUUUCUCUGGUUAUAAAUAAAGCCUCUAUUGAGAUUUGUGGGCUAAUUUUGGAUAGAUAUAUGCUUUAUUUCUCUGAAAUA